UUUACUCUUUAUUUACUUUUACUAUUUAUAAAUCUAUAUCUAUCAGAAUUAAUCCUUACAGGUAAUGAGUUCAAGGGGAUUGACAACCCUCCUGUCCGCGUUGGGUGCACGGAUUUGAUGUUCAUAUUGGUUCGAUAAACCUUGGUUCUCACUGAUGGAAAUACCUACCGCUACUAUAUUGUUUCACCCUUUGUAGCGACCGGUUUUCCGGAAAAUGAUUUCCAGAAAAACAUGCCUUUGUGUUCACCAGCCCCAGGACUACUGUUAGUUAGUGAACACUAACUUGAUACAGACAUCCCAAGAAAAAUACAAACUCUGGGUUACAAGACCAUGAAGGUCCACUGGUUUGGACAAAAGUCUGAGGCUGGCGGCGGAAGCGACUCGAGGAAUCUCCAGUGCCCAUGGGACUCCAUUCCCACAGGAACAGCUGACCUGGAUAAAUUCUAUCUCGCAAGGCCGCUAUCCUCGACUCCUAGUUUCCGGGGAUGACGACAUCGUGCUCCUAUCCGAUGAAAUCUGACCAAGACAAUAGCAAGGGACAAGCCAGUGAGUACUUUGUAUGUACUCGCAAACAUCAAGAAAAUAGAUAAGUUAAAGCAGGUGAGAUGCAUGCAUAAUUCACUUAAUAACGCUAUUAUACGAUAAAUUCACGGAUGCAUUCAUGCAGAUAAAUCAAUUCCACCAAUGUUGUAUAAGCAAGCAAAG
RNAcentral lists this long non-coding RNA (705 nucleotides) under Hordeum vulgare. Its description in RNAcentral is "long non-coding RNA (HVUL_LNC010321)". Lineage: Eukaryota; Viridiplantae; Streptophyta; Magnoliopsida; Poales; Poaceae. The record is from RNAcentral.